This is a long non-coding RNA of Priapulus caudatus, 166 nucleotides long. RefSeq lists it as uncharacterized. The transcript is spliced from 3 exons. The record is from RefSeq and is a predicted model, not a curated record. NCBI's taxonomy places the organism in Eukaryota, Metazoa, Priapulida, Priapulimorpha, Priapulimorphida, Priapulidae.
GAUAGACGUAAAAGUUAUACAGAGGGCCAACAGAUCGAAGAACCCAGUACCACAUACAAGCCACCUGGUCAGAUUCUGGUGUGACGGAAGGGUUCAAGACGCCACAAGAGCUGUUCGACUUUCAUAAUAAGUUGCUAAAAGUUGUUCCCAGAGGACGCCGCGGCAC